AUCCCGUAUAGAAAAAUAAAGCGAGUGAGAAAAAGAAAUAGCUUACAAAUCUGCCAGAAAUGAGAACGGAGAGACCGGAGGUCAUGACAAUAGAAGAGAAGAGGAUACGUCGGAGACUCGUAGUAGCUUUUCGGCGAAUGGAAGGGGCCAACAGGGGAGAGAUGGAGGGCACAGAUUUCAACAAAGGGUGAAGGAAAGAGUAAGUGAUGAGCACUCCGAGGCAGGCAGCGAUGUUUCUAGUGAGAAGUCCGGCAUAUUCGAGGACUUCGGUGGCGUCACUGAUUUUCGUUGAGAAAUCAAAUGUGGGGGGCCAUAAAAUUAGUGAAAAAAAAAAGAUGAAUGUAUCCUUUAUAAUACAAGUAUUAAUAGGUAAAAAAACCAGGGCCCCUGGCCCUAAUGAGGAUCCGUCAGUGCUUUUGGUGAUGGCCAUUUCAACCAUGAGGAUUAAUUGACAGUGCUAAUUACUAUCACAAAUUAAAUCUAAAAUAUGGUUGACUCUUAAUUACUACAAUAUCAUUUUUCUUAGUAAGAAUGCAGAAACAUAUCCAUUACGUAUGUUGCCAUAUUAACUCUAAUAUACAUGAUUAAUGAUUGUAGGUAGCAUGGAUGUUGACUGAAAGUGAAACAAAUGUUGUUAAUCCGUGUGUUCUCUCCAGCAAAUUAGUGUGUAGAUGCAUUUGCGUAUGAUAUACAGCCUUGCUCUCUUCUCUUUGAAACUCUUUCUUUUUGUGUGGAUUCUCGAUGAUUGCUUCCCUACAGAAAAAGCUAGGAGUUCCAUGGAGUCUGUUGGAAUUCUUCUGAUUUUGUUGAUUUCAACUAGAUAUAUAUAUAUAACCUUUUUAUAACUGUAAUUGCUUGUGAAAUUAAUGUCAAUGUUGAGUUUUUAAUGAAGUAAAACUCAAAAAAAGUCUCUUUAUUUCAGUAAA
Lactuca sativa (garden lettuce) is the source of this 926-nucleotide long non-coding RNA. RefSeq lists it as uncharacterized. The record is from RefSeq and is a predicted model, not a curated record. Lineage: Eukaryota; Viridiplantae; Streptophyta; Magnoliopsida; Asterales; Asteraceae.